GAAAUUCUUAAAAUGAGGGGGCACUCUAUUUUAUCGUGUUAUUUUCCGAAGGAAUUGAGAUAGAGUGCCCCCUCAUUUUAAGAAUUUC
Molecule: non-coding RNA, 88 nt
Organism: Musca domestica (house fly)
Lineage: Eukaryota; Metazoa; Arthropoda; Insecta; Diptera; Muscidae
Source: Rfam